CGGACGCUGCCUGGUGCGUUAGGCCGCUAGAUACCUGGGGCCAACAUUUAACCCUCGGGAACUGUCCCUGCCGGAGUCGUGGCUCCGGUACACGGUGCCCACCUAACCAUGAGGGCCUUAGAGAAGUAGCGAGGCCGACGGCUGGGCGGCUCCGU
This 155-nucleotide non-coding RNA is filed under the name Alphaproteobacteria bacterium. Its description in RNAcentral is "6S RNA". It matches the Rfam family "6S / SsrS RNA". Rfam says of the family: E. coli 6S RNA was the first non coding RNA to be sequenced, but its function was unknown until recently. It consists of 184 nucleotides that fold into an extended hairpin structure with a large single-stranded internal bulge. Lineage: Bacteria; Pseudomonadati; Pseudomonadota; Alphaproteobacteria. The record is from RNAcentral.